CCUACGGGUGACAGCAGUGGGGAAUAUUGCACAAUGGGGGAAACCCUGAUGCAGCGACGCCGCGUGAGUGAAGAAGUAAUUCGUUAUGUAAAGCUCUAUCAGCAGGGAAGAAAAUGACGGUACCUGAGUAAGAUGCCCCGGCUAACUACGUGCCAGCAGCCGCGGUAAUACGUAGGGGGCGAGCGUUAUCCGGAUUUACUGGGUGUGAAGGGAGCGUAGACGGCAUGUCAGGCCAGAAGUGAAAGGCGGGGGCUCGACCGUCGGAUUGCUCUGGCAACUGUACGGCUGGAGUGCAGGGAGGGUAUGUGGAAUUCGUGGUGUAGCGGGGAAAUGCUUAGAUAUCACGAAGAACUCCGAUGGCGAAGGCAGCAUAC
RNAcentral lists this ribosomal RNA (374 nucleotides) under uncultured bacterium. RNAcentral's name for it is "partial 16S ribosomal RNA". It matches the Rfam family "Bacterial small subunit ribosomal RNA", at positions 338 to 729 of the family's 1533-position model. The record is from RNAcentral.